GGACAACGUGCCCUAAGGUCUGGCAUAACUCCGGGAAACUGGGGAUAAUUCCAGAUAAACCAUGGAUACUGGAAUGUACUGUGGUUAAAAGCUCCGGUGCCUUAGGAUGGAUCUGCGGCCUAUCAGGUAGUAGUGGGUGUAAUGUACCUACUAGCCUACGACGGGUACGGGUUGUGAGAGCAAGAGCCCGGAGAUGGAUUCUGAGACAUGAAUCCAGGCCCUACGGGGCGCAGCAGGCGCGAAAACUUUACAAUGCGGGAAACCGCGAUAAGGGGACACUGAGUGCCAGCACCAUGUGCUGGCUGUCCGCAUGUAUAAAUCACAUGUGUCAGCAAGGGCCGGGCAAGACCGGUGCCAGCCGCCGCGGUAACACCGGCGGCCCGAGUGGUGGCCAUUAUUAUUGGGUCUAAAGGGUCCGUAGCCGGUUUGAUCAGUCUUCCGGGAAAUCUGACAGCUCAACUGUUAGGCUUCUGGGGGAUACUGUCAGACUUGGAACCGGGAGAGGUAAGAGGUACUACAGGGGUAGGAGUGAAAUCUUGUAAUCCUUGUGGGACCACCAGUGGCGAAGGCGUCUUACCAGAACGGGUUUGACGGUGAGGGACGAAAGCUGGGGGCACGAACCGGAUUAGAUACCCGGGUAGUCCCAGCCGUAAACGAUGCUCGCUAGGUGUCUGGGAUGGUGCGACCGUUUCAGGUGCCGCAGGGAAGCCGUGAAGCGAGCCACCUGGGAAGUACGGCCGCAAGGCUGAAACUUAA
Molecule: ribosomal RNA, 756 nt
Filed under: uncultured Methanolobus sp.
Lineage: Archaea; Methanobacteriati; Methanobacteriota; Methanomicrobia; Methanosarcinales; Methanosarcinaceae
Description: bacterial SSU rRNA
Rfam family: Archaeal small subunit ribosomal RNA
Source: RNAcentral